AGCGGCGAGCGAAGCGGGAAGAGCUCAAAUUUAUAAUCUGGCACCUUCGGUGUCCGAGUUGUAAUCUCUAGAAGUGUUUUCCGCGUUGGACCGCACACAAGUCUGUUGGAAUACAGCGGCAUAGUGGUGAAACCCCCGUAUAUGGUGCGGACGCCCAGCGCUUUGUGAUACACUUUCAAUGAGUCGAGUUGUUUGGGAAUGCAGCUCAAAUUGGGUGGUAAAUUCCAUCUAAAGCUAAAUAUUGGCGAGAGACCGAUAGCGAACAAGUACCGUGAGGGAAAGAUGAAAAGCACUUUGGAAAGAGAGUUAACAGUACGUGAAAUUGUUGGAAGGGAAACGCUUGAAGUCAGACUUGCUUGCCGGAGCUUGCUUCGGUUUGCAGGCCAGCAUCAGUUUUCCGGGGUGGAUAAUGACGGUUUGAAGGUAGCAGUCUCGGCUGUGUUAUAGCUUUCCGUUGGAUACAUCCUGGGGGACUGAGGAACGCAGCGUGCUUUUUGCGAAAGACUCGUCUUUUUCACGCUUAGGAUGCUGGUGGAAUGGCUUUAAACGACCCGUCUUGAAACACGGACCA
This 571-nucleotide ribosomal RNA is filed under the name Rhodotorula graminis. Its description in RNAcentral is "partial large subunit ribosomal RNA". It matches the Rfam family "Eukaryotic large subunit ribosomal RNA", at positions 85 to 668 of the family's 3401-position model. Lineage: Eukaryota; Fungi; Basidiomycota; Microbotryomycetes; Sporidiobolales; Sporidiobolaceae. The record is from RNAcentral.